AUACGGAAGGUCCGGGCGUUAUCCGGAUUUAUUGGGUUUAAAGGGAGCGCAGGCGGAGAUGCAAGCGUGACGUCAAAUUUCGGGGCUCAACCCCGUCUCGCGUCGCGAACUGCGUCCCUUGGUUGCGGGAAGGGGAGGCGGAACUCGUGGUGUAGCGGUGACAUGCAUAGAUAUCACGAAGAACUCCGAUCGCGAAGGCAGCCUUCCGGCCCGUCAACGACGCUCAUGCUCGAAGGGGCGGGUAUCAAACAGGAUUAGAUACCCUGGUAGUCCGCACAGUAAACGAUGGACACCCGCGGUUUGGCCUAUAUGGCUGAGCCGCCAAGCGAAAGCGUUAAGUGUCCCACCUGGGGAGUACGCCGGCAACGGUGAAACUCAAAUGAAUUGACGGGG
Molecule: ribosomal RNA, 393 nt
Filed under: uncultured bacterium
Lineage: Bacteria
Description: partial 16S ribosomal RNA
Rfam family: Bacterial small subunit ribosomal RNA
Source: RNAcentral